UUGAUUGGGGGAAGAUUAAUUAGUGUAUUGGAUGAUUCCAGGUGAAGCAAACUUUUGCUCCAUUUGAUGUUUUUUGUGCUGGAAGAUUGGAUUAUUCUCUAAACCGAGGAGAAAACUCAAAGAACUGGCUGCUGUUCCAUCAGAAAUCUGAAGAGCUUUUAUUUUUCUCUCCUUCUGUCACCUCCCUCAAUCACGAGCAAUGAAAACAGAUAAAGAGAGAGAGAUACACAAGAAGAGUCCUAUGAAAGAGAGAGUGGAGCUCCGGCAAGACGAGCAAUCAAGAAAGAAAAAUAGAGGGAAAAAAAGGACAGAAAAUGAGGUGUGCGUACCCGUCAAUGAUAAGAUGUUCAUAGGGUGCCUUCUUGUCACAGACGGGACACACCCAGGUGGGCUUCUUCUCGUUCAU
This is a long non-coding RNA of Astyanax mexicanus (Mexican tetra), 406 nucleotides long. RefSeq lists it as uncharacterized. The record is from RefSeq and is a predicted model, not a curated record. The transcript is spliced from 3 exons. Lineage: Eukaryota; Metazoa; Chordata; Actinopteri; Characiformes; Acestrorhamphidae.